Molecule: ribosomal RNA, 253 nt
Filed under: uncultured bacterium
Lineage: Bacteria
Description: partial 16S ribosomal RNA
Rfam family: Bacterial small subunit ribosomal RNA
Source: RNAcentral
UACGAAGGGUGCUAGCGUUGUUCGGAAUUACUGGGCGUAAAGAGCGCGUAGGCGGUUAUCCAAGUCAGGGGUGAAAUCCCGGAGCUUAACUCCGGAACUGCCUUUGAAACUGUAUAGCUGGAGUGUGUGAGGGGAUAGCGGAAUUCCUAAUGUAGAGGUGAAAUUCGUAGAUAUUAGGAGGAACACCGGUGGCGAAGGCGGCUAUCUGGCGCACAACUGACGCUGAGGCGCGAAAGCGUGGGGAUCAAACAGG